UUUAAAGUCUAGCCUGCCCCAAUGAAGAUUUUAAUGGCCGCGGUAUAUUGACCGUGCAAAGGUAGCAUAAUAAUUAGUUUUUUAAUUGGAAGCUGGAAUGAACGGCUGGACGAGAAAGCAACUGUCUCCGGUUGAUUUAUAGAAUUUUAUUUUUAAGUGAAAAAGCUUAAAUUAUUUUAAAAGACGAGAAGACCCUAUAGAGUUUUAUAUUUUAUUAUUUAGUAGUUUCUAAGAAGUUUCUUAAUUAUUAUAUAAUAAGGUAUUUUGUUGGGGUGACAAAAAAAUUGGUAUAACUUUUUCUUUUUUUAUUCACUUAUUUGUGGGUAGUUGAUCCGUUUUUGGCGAUUAUAAGACUAAAUUACCUUAGGGAUAACAGCGUAAUUUUCUUUUAGAGUUCUUAUCGAAAGGAAAGCUUGCGACCUCGAUGUUGGAUUAAAAUUAAUGCUCGGGGCAGUGGCUGAGCUAUUAGGUCUGUUCGACCUUUGAAAUUUUACA
RNAcentral lists this ribosomal RNA (495 nucleotides) under Camenta sp. DA1023. RNAcentral's name for it is "partial 16S large subunit ribosomal RNA". It matches the Rfam family "Archaeal large subunit ribosomal RNA", at positions 1967 to 2669 of the family's 2987-position model. Lineage: Eukaryota; Metazoa; Arthropoda; Insecta; Coleoptera; Scarabaeidae. The record is from RNAcentral.